CCUUUCAAUGCAGAAGAGUUGAGAUGGUUGAGUAUCUCGCCUCUCAAUUCUCGCUGUAUUUUACCCUUGUUUUUCUCAUACUAUUAUUUCCUCGGCAGGCUCGCCUGCCGGGUGUGAAACAACUUCAAACCUGUUUAAUUUUCAAUCAGCGUCUGAACAAAUUAAUAAUUA
Molecule: unclassified non-coding RNA, 171 nt
Filed under: soil metagenome
Description: partial internal transcribed spacer 1
Source: RNAcentral